Long non-coding RNA from Apis florea (little honeybee), 1030 nucleotides. Lineage: Eukaryota; Metazoa; Arthropoda; Insecta; Hymenoptera; Apidae. The record is from RefSeq and is a predicted model, not a curated record.
CAUUUACACUUUUUUAUAUGCUUGCCAACAUUUUAUAUGACCGAUGAACACGUUGAGGUUACGAGUUGUAGUAUUACGUAAAGAGAUAAGACUUGAUGGAUGAGUAAACUCUUCGUUAGUUAAUUGUCAUUUAUCAUUGAAUCUAUAUGCGAUGCAAACAAUUUUUUUAUCUUUUCUAAAUUCUUAUUUUUAUUUUAAUUUCUAUUUCAUGAAAAAUAUUACGUUAACGGAAUUAAUUCAUCAAAAAGAUCGAUGAAACAAAAUUCAGAAAGCUUAAUAGCAAAUAAGAUUACAUUUCUCACGACAGAUGGCAGUCUUUUAACUGGACAAACGAACAUUUAGCCUAAUUCUCGAUUGUUGCUGCAAGUAAACCUAUUUUGGAAGUUUAAGCCGUUAUUGGAAUCGACAUUGUUAAAAUGAAUGGAUGCAGGUUGAACAAUCAAACAGCUGUGUUGUAAAUACAAAGUGGAUUAUUCUGAAGAGAGCCUACGGCAAAUCGAGCUCGGCCACUUUCAAUUAACCUUCGAUGUAUGGUUCAGAAAAUCUCAUUUAAUUAACGUUUGGUGAUUGGGAUUAGCUGUAAUUGCGACGGACAUUUAAUCGAUUACGAGGUUAUAAAAGGUCAUGUUGAAAGAACAGCGUUGAAGAUGUUAUAUCAGAGAAUAUAGUGGACGAAGAAAAUUCGUAAUUAAUUUUAUACGUUUUUAACAGAAAGAGACAUGGCAAGCGUGCUCAUGCCCUAUAACCUGAUAUCAGAACAGGUUUAACCUCAUCGUUAAACCCUCUGAUAAUGAGAACAUAAUUUCAACUAGUAACACGUCUACGUUUUCCAUCCUGUUUCUAUCCAAAAGGGAAUUUCACCAUGAAAACAGCUCAGUUGGUGAGAGUUGAUCACGUAUCGAGGCAAAAAGUUACUGGUUACUUCAUCGACUCGAAUAUGGAGCGGCUAAAAAUAGGAAAUCGAUGAGGAAAAAAGCAUCGUGAUUAGAACCUAACCUAUAUCUAAUACCGUUAAUGGAUGAUGCAAUGA